This is a long non-coding RNA of Neoarius graeffei (lesser salmon catfish), 1232 nucleotides long. RefSeq lists it as uncharacterized. Lineage: Eukaryota; Metazoa; Chordata; Actinopteri; Siluriformes; Ariidae. The transcript is spliced from 3 exons. The record is from RefSeq and is a predicted model, not a curated record.
UGGUUCUAAAAUAUUAAUGUAUUGUUUCAGACUGCAUUCUUCUACCUGCUUGGUGAAUUACCGGUAUAUUUCAUUCUGAAAGGUCAUGGGGCAAGCUGGAGUUGACUGCCGGAGAGUGGCUCCAUGGAAUAUUCCAGGAACAGUGGCUGUGAGGUGGGAAUACACCUUGGAUGGAAUGCCAGUCCAUCACAGGACACCAUGCACACACACACACACACACACUCAUAUCUAGGGACAAUUUCAGCAUAGCCAAUUCAAUUUUUUCCCCAGAUCUUAGGGCAAUAGCUAACGUUUUUUUUUUUUCUUUUUCCAAAUGUACAUGAUGACUCUGGAUGAUCCAUUUACAUGGAAAUACAAGUCUUAGACAAGGAACCCCUGCUCGCAUGCAUACGCACAUUAAUGCUUCAAGUUCAAACACUUCUUGUCAGGCAGCAGAGAAUUAAUAAAGAUUGCCUAAAGCCACAUUAGUCUUCACUCCACCCCUCUGCCCUAAACCUCCUCUUCUUCUCCUCACAGAAAAGGAUUUUUCUUUUAAUUAAAGGCGGCAGACAGGAAGCAGGGACAGCUUCCCACACUAUGCCUAAAGAAUAGUGCUGCCUCCGUCUUUUCUGUCUUGUCUUCUGAGUGAGAGAGUAAAAGAGGCACAAUCUUAAUCUAGUGAAUGAAUGAGAAAAGAACAUCAAUAAAAAAGAAACAUCAAUAAACACAGUUCAGUUCGCUGAGUGAACUAAGAUGGUUGAGGUGUGUGUGUGUGCCAAGAGAUCAUUUUCAUUAAGAUAUGGGAAGCUGGGGAAUUGCUGACAGGAGUGCUCAUGCCUUCCUGAAGUGAAUAUACUUUUUGUUUGAUAAAAAUUUCCCCCUCACGCCACUAAUGGACCAUUAAAUUCAUCAGCAAGGCCUUCCCACACUCCUGCCUCUUCAAGCACUUCUCUUCUAUUUCUGUCUCCUGCAGAUUUGUCAUUCCUCUCUCUCUCUCUCUCUCUCUCUUCCAUUGCAUGAACUUGAUCUGGUGUGGAGUCAAAUCUGUCUCUUUUGAGACCACCCUCUUAUUUAACUCUCUUUCCUGUGCUUGCCUACUUACUAAGCCCUAGAGAAACUAUAAAAAUACAAAUUUUUUUUAAGUAGUAUGAACCAUUUAGUUUAAUGUGAGCACUAGAAAUGCUCUCAAUUUGCUAUUCGAAAAUUCUCAAAUUAAUAACUACUCCAACGUCCAUCCAUCCAUCCAUCCAUCC